CGGCGGCGCCAGCCACUCGGAGCUAAUCCACAACCUCCGCAAAAAUGGAAUCAUAAAGACAGAUAAAGUAUUUGAAGUGAUGCUGGCUACAGACCGCUCCCACUAUGCAAAGUGUAACCCUUAUAUGGAUUCUCCACAAUCAAUAGGUUUCCAAGCAACAAUCAGUGCUCCACAUAUGCAUGCAUAUGCACUAGAACUUCUAUUUGAUCAAUUGCAUGAAGGAGCUAAAGCUCUUGAUGUAGGAUCUGGAAGUGGAAUCCUUACUGCAUGUUUUGCACGUAUGGUUGGAUGUAGUGGAAAAGCCAUAGGAAUUGAUCACAUUAAGGAAUUAGUAGAUGACUCCAUAAAUAAUGUCAGAAAGGACGAUCCAACACUUUUGUCUUCAGGGAGAGUACAGUUGGUUGUGGGAGAUGGAAGAAUGGGCUAUCCUGAAGAAGCCCCUUAUGACGCUAUUCAUGUAGGAGCUGCAGCUCCAGUUGUGCCUCAGGCCGGACGAGCUGUAAAAGCAACAUCAGCUUGACCAGUCUAUAAUAUUGCAGUGGAUUGUUCAUCUCGGUCCCUAAAGCUCUUUGAAAACCAACAGCAUCACAGCUUGUUUUGGACUUUGUUACACUAUUAUUUUCAGCAUGAAAAUGUGUGGUUUUGUAGGGUUUUCUAAUUCUUUAGAGAGGCACAGAACCAAAUUGGUGGAGGAAGGAUGUAAAGUAUAAAUUUCUAUAUGAUUACUUUAACAUGCCCACAUUUUACUUUAAAAUA
RNA transcript from Octodon degus (degu), 756 nucleotides. It is a transcript of the gene named protein-L-isoaspartate(D-aspartate) O-methyltransferase pseudogene, with no coding region annotated. The annotation marks the transcript as partial. NCBI's taxonomy places the organism in Eukaryota, Metazoa, Chordata, Mammalia, Rodentia, Octodontidae. The transcript has a single exon. The record is from RefSeq and is a predicted model, not a curated record.